RNAcentral lists this transfer RNA (48 nucleotides) under Heterosigma akashiwo. RNAcentral describes it as "partial tRNA". The record is from RNAcentral. Lineage: Eukaryota; Raphidophyceae; Chattonellales; Chattonellaceae.
GCAGAGCUGGUAUAGCACCUGAUUUGUAAUCAGUAGGUUGGGGGUUCA